CUACGGGUGGCUGCAGUGGGGAAUCUUAGACAAUGGGCGCAAGCCUGAUCUAGCCAUGCCGCGUGAGUGACGAAGGCCUUAGGGUCGUAAAGCUCUUUCGCUGGGGAAGAUAAUGACGGUACCCAGUAAAGAAACCCCGGCUAACUCCGUGCCAGCAGCCGCGGUAAUACGGAGGGGGUUAGCGUUGUUCGGAAUUACUGGGCGUAAAGCGCGCGUAGGCGGAUCAGAAAGUUGGGGGUGAAAUCCCGGGGCUCAACCCCGGAACUGCCUUCAAAACUCCUGGUCUUGAGUUCGAGAGAGGUGAGUGGAAUUCCGAGUGUAGAGGUGAAAUUCGUAGAUAUUCGGAGGAACACCAGUGGCGAAGGCGGCUCACUGGCUCGAUACUGACGCUGAGGUGCGAAAGCGUGGGGAGCAAACAGGAUUAGAUACCCGCGUAGUC
Molecule: ribosomal RNA, 439 nt
Filed under: uncultured bacterium
Lineage: Bacteria
Description: partial 16S ribosomal RNA
Rfam family: Bacterial small subunit ribosomal RNA
Source: RNAcentral